Long non-coding RNA from Carassius gibelio (silver crucian carp), 501 nucleotides. RefSeq lists it as uncharacterized. The transcript has 4 exons. NCBI's taxonomy places the organism in Eukaryota, Metazoa, Chordata, Actinopteri, Cypriniformes, Cyprinidae. The record is from RefSeq and is a predicted model, not a curated record.
AUUAGACCUGCUGUCAAAAGUCUACAAUUAAAGCAGAGUCCUUGUGCCACACGACUCCAGUUAACAGCAUGCUGAUAUUUUUGCUUCAAUGCUGACUUAAUGCUUUGUGUCUCUGGAGACUCAUCAGAGUUACAUUGGGAUGCAGAGCAAAGCUCCAACACUUGCCUUUAAGCAGAAGAGAGCCUGUCACCCCAUCACCCCACUGUUUGAUGCCGUGCCAAGAGGAAUCACGUGGACAGAACGCCAAGCAUAAAAUGAAACAUGAAUAUAAUGGCAAUAUUCCAGCGGAAAUCGGACUUCAUAUUGGAUUUCUUUUUCUACAUUUGGCCUCAUUAAGCUUUGCAGAUGACUGGGAAAUAGCCACUCUGCAUGAUCACAGUAGUGUGGAGAGCCUGAUUAGCCUCAUGGUGCUCAGCAGCAGGUGGAGAAGAUGACGGUAGAUCAGGUGAACUGCUUCCAGAAGCAUCUCAGCUUUUCUAACUAUGAAAAAUAAAGAGCCUA